UAGGGAAUCUUCCACAAUGGACGCAAGUCUGAUGGAGCAACGCCGCGUGAGUGAAGAAGGUUUUCGGACCGUAAAGCUCUGUUGUUGGUGAAGAAGGAUAGAGGUAGUAACUGGCCUUUAUUUGACGGUAAUCAACCAGAAAGUCACGGCUAACUACGUGCCAGCAGCCGCGGUAAUCGUAGGUGGCAAGCGUUGUCCGGAUUUAUUGGGCGUAAAGCGAGCGCAGGCGGAAGAAUAAGUCUGAUGUGAAAGCCCUCGGCUUAACCGAGGAAUUGCAUCGGAAACUGUUUUCUUGAGUGCAGAAGAGGAGAGCAGAACUCCAUGUGUAGCGGUGGAAUGCGUAGAUAUAUGGAAGAAUACCAGUGGCGGAGGCGGCUCUCUGGUCUGCAACUGACGCUGAGGCUCGAAAGCAUGGGUAGCGAACAGGAUUAGAUACCCUGGUAGUCCAUGCCGUAAACGAUGAGUGCUAAGUGUUGGGAGGCUUCCGCCUCUCAGUGCUGCAGCUAACGCAUUAAGCACUCCGCCUGGGGGAGUACGACCGCAAGGUUGAAAC
This 553-nucleotide ribosomal RNA is filed under the name uncultured bacterium. Its description in RNAcentral is "partial 16S ribosomal RNA". It matches the Rfam family "Bacterial small subunit ribosomal RNA", at positions 355 to 900 of the family's 1533-position model. The record is from RNAcentral.